GAUGAACGCUGGCGGCGUGCCUAAUACAUGCAAGUCGAGCGAACGGACGAGAAGCUUGCUUCUCUGAUGUUAGCGGCGGACGGGUGAGUAACACGUGGAUAACCUACCUAUAAGACUGGGAUAACUUCGGGAAACCGGAGCUACUACCGGAUAAUAUUUUGAACCGCAUGGUUCAAAAGUGAUAGACGGUCUUGCUGUCACUUAUAGAUGGAUCCGCGCUGCAUUAGCUAGUUGGUAAGGUAACGGCUUACCAAGGCAACGAUGCAUAGCCGACCUGAGAGGGUGAUCGGCCACACUGGAACUGAGACACGGUCCAGACUCCUACGGGAGGCAGCAGUAGGGAAUCUUCCGCAAUGGGCGAAAGCCUGACGGAGCAACGCCGCGUGAGUGAUGAAGGUCUUCGGAUCGUAAAACUCUGUUAUUAGGGAAGAACAUAUGUGCAAGUAACUGUGCACAUCUUGACGGUACCUAAUCAGAAAGCCACGGCUAACUACGUG
RNAcentral lists this ribosomal RNA (497 nucleotides) under uncultured bacterium. Its description in RNAcentral is "partial 16S ribosomal RNA". It matches the Rfam family "Bacterial small subunit ribosomal RNA", at positions 28 to 507 of the family's 1533-position model. The record is from RNAcentral.